This 253-nucleotide ribosomal RNA is filed under the name uncultured bacterium. Its description in RNAcentral is "partial 16S ribosomal RNA". It matches the Rfam family "Bacterial small subunit ribosomal RNA", at positions 524 to 776 of the family's 1533-position model. The record is from RNAcentral.
UACAGAGGGUGCAAGCGUUAAUCGGAAUCACUGGGCGUAAAGCGCACGUAGGCGGAUUGCUAAGUCAGGGGUGAAAUCCUGGAGCUCAACUCCAGAACUGCCUUUGAUACUGGCGACCUUGAGUCCGGGAGAGGUGAGUGGAACUGCGAGUGUAGAGGUGAAAUUCGUAGAUAUUCGCAAGAACACCAGUGGCGAAGGCGGCUCACUGGCCCGGUACUGACGCUGAGGUGCGAAAGCGUGGGGAGCAAACAGG